CCUACGGGAGGCAGCAGUAGGGAAUAUUGCUCAAUGGGGGAAACCCUGAAGCAGCAACGUCGCGUGAAGGAUGAAGGCUUUCUGAUUUUUAAACCUUUUUUUUAGAGAAGAUAAUGACGGUAUCUAUCGCAUAAGCACCGGUUAACUCCGUACCAGCAUCCGCGGUUAUAAGGACGGUGCAAGCGUUACUCGGAAUCAUUGGGCGUAAAUAGCGCGUAUGUGGGAUAGCAAGUUAGAUGUGAAAAUCUAGGGGUUAACCCUAGAACUGCAGUUGAAACUGGUAUUCUAGAGUUGGCGAGAGGUAGGUGGAAUGCGUGGUGUAGGGGUAAAAUGCAUAGAGAUCAAGAAGAAUACUGAUUGCGAAGGCGACAU
RNAcentral lists this ribosomal RNA (372 nucleotides) under uncultured bacterium. RNAcentral's name for it is "partial 16S ribosomal RNA". It matches the Rfam family "Bacterial small subunit ribosomal RNA", at positions 338 to 727 of the family's 1533-position model. The record is from RNAcentral.